UGAUUUACUCUCUGACAUACUGGUGC
Molecule: non-coding RNA, 26 nt
Filed under: Drosophila melanogaster (fruit fly)
Lineage: Eukaryota; Metazoa; Arthropoda; Insecta; Diptera; Drosophilidae
Source: RNAcentral